UUGUAGCUUGCUAUGGUAUAACUUAGUGGCAGACGGGUGAGUAAUGUAUAGGAAUCUACCUAGUAGUACGGAAUAAUUGUUGGAAACGGCAACUAAUACCGUAUACGCCCUACGGGGGAAAAAUUUAUUGCUAUUAGAUGAGCCUAUAUUAGAUUAGCUAGUUGGUGGAGUAAUAGCCUACCAAGGCAAUGAUCUAUAGCUGAUCUGAGAGGAUGAUCAGCCACACUGGAACUGAGAUACGGUCCAGACUCCUACGGGAGGCAGCAGUGGGGAAUAUUGGACAAUGGGCGAAAGCCUGAUCCAGCCAUGCCGCAUGAGUGAAGAAGGCCUUUGGGUUGUAAAGCUCUUUUAGUGAGGAAGAUAAUGACGGUACUCACAGAAGAAGUCCUGGCUAACUCCGUGCCAGCAGCCGCGGUAAUACGGAGAGGGCUAGCGUUAUUCGGAAUUAUUGGGCGUAAAGGGCGCGUAGGCGGAUUAGUAAGUUAAAAGUGAAAUCCCAAGGCUCAACCUUGGAAUUGCUUUUAAAACUGCUAAUCUAGAGAUUGAAAGAGGAUAGAGGAAUUCCUAGUGUAGAGGUGAAAUUCGUAAAUAUUAGGAGGAACACCAGUGGCGAAGGCGUCUAUCUGGUUCAAAUCUGACGCUGAGGCGCGAAGGCGUGGGGAGCAAACAGGAUUAGAUACCCUGGUAGUCCACGCUGUAAACGAUGAAUGUUAAAUAUGGGAAGUUUUACUUUCUGUAUUACAGCUAACGCGUUAAACAUUCCGCCUGGGGACUACGGUCGCAAGAUUAAAACUCAAAGGAAUUGACGGGGACCCGCACAAGCGGUGGAGCAUGUGGUUUAAUUCGAUGCAACGCGAAAAACCUUACCACUCCUUGACAUGGAAAUCAUACCUAUUC
This 897-nucleotide ribosomal RNA is filed under the name Wolbachia sp. RNAcentral's name for it is "bacterial SSU rRNA". It matches the Rfam family "Bacterial small subunit ribosomal RNA", at positions 73 to 1002 of the family's 1533-position model. Lineage: Bacteria; Pseudomonadati; Pseudomonadota; Alphaproteobacteria; Rickettsiales; Anaplasmataceae. The record is from RNAcentral.